Molecule: ribosomal RNA, 484 nt
Filed under: uncultured bacterium
Lineage: Bacteria
Description: partial 16S ribosomal RNA
Rfam family: Bacterial small subunit ribosomal RNA
Source: RNAcentral
AUUGAACGCUGGCGGCAGGCCUAAGACAUGCAAGUCGAGCGGAUGAAGGGAGCUUGCUCCUGGAUUCAGCGGCGGACGGGUGAGUAAUGCCUAGGAAUCUGCCUGGUAGUGGGGGAUAACGUCCGGAAACGGGCGCUAAUACCGCAUACGUCCUGAGGGAGAAAGUGGGGGAUCUUCGGACCUCACGCUAUCAGAUGAGCCUAGGUCGGAUUAGCUAGUUGGUGGGGUAAAGGCCUACCAAGGCGACGAUCCGUAACUGGUCUGAGAGGAUGAUCAGUCACACUGGAACUGAGACACGGUCCAGACUCCUACGGGAGGCAGCAGUGGGGAAUAUUGGACAAUGGGCGAAAGCCUGAUCCAGCCAUGCCGCGUGUGUGAAGAAGGUCUUCGGAUUGUAAAGCACUUUAAGUUGGGAGGAAGGGCAGUAAGUUAAUACCUUGCUGUUUUGACGUUACCAACAGAAUAAGCACCGGCUAACUUCGUG